This 253-nucleotide ribosomal RNA is filed under the name uncultured bacterium. RNAcentral's name for it is "partial 16S ribosomal RNA". It matches the Rfam family "Bacterial small subunit ribosomal RNA", at positions 524 to 776 of the family's 1533-position model. The record is from RNAcentral.
UACGUAGGGUGCAAGCGUUGUCCGGAAUCAUUGGGCGUAAAGAGCUCGUAGGCGGUCUGUCGCGUCUGCUGUGAAAACUCAGGGCUUAACCCUGAGCUUGCAGUGGGUACGGGCAGACUAGAGUGCGGUAGGGGAGACUGGAAUUCCUGGUGUAGCGGUGAAAUGCGCAGAUAUCAGGAGGAAGACCGGUGGCGAAGGCGGGUCUCUGGGGCGUAACUGACGCUGAGGAGCGAAGGCAUGGGGAGCGAACAGG